CACAACUUGUGGACUUGUUUAGUGCUGCAGUGCAUUUUGUUGCUAGCGUUACUUUGCUACCUGCCAACUUUACGGGUGUUACUUUUUAAUUACCGUUUUAUAUUUGUUCCCUCGCGCGACUUUUUUAAUUCUCCUUUUUCCACACCGGAUGCUUUAUCUGGACAUGGUUCUACACGACCUUCACCAGCCGAAGCUAAGUAGUAACAUUAUGCCUUCUAAUUGCAGUCGCUGUACUCAUGAUACACAGGAGAAUGAUAGCCUUAUGAGGAGGAUAGCCGUGCUGCAAGCCCAGCUUCAGACGUACUCGUUAGGCAAGGGUAAUUUAAGUGUAGGAAAGGAUGAAACGGCGUCUGUGCCACAAAUACAGAUAGUAGUAUAAAUCCCCUCACACAGUCCCCGCAGCCGGACAAUUUUCUCAUGGCUUCUGGAAGGAAAUGCUGUAGGAAUGCUCAACCGGUGUCGCUCAUUCAGCCGACAGAAACUUUCAACCUGUUCUCCCCAUUAAGCAAUGAGUCGGAGUCAGAGGCCGAGCCUUCUCUGGUCUCUCCUCCACCCGUUACGGGGUCUGAGACGCCAAAGCCUCCCACCAUUAGCUCUGACAAAUUGAAAACCCUAGUCAUUGGCGACUUCAUUAGCCGCAGUAUUAGACUUAAAACGAAUCAUCCAGCGAUCAUACACUGUUUACCAGGGGGCAGGGCUACCCUGAAGAUGGUGCAGGCUAAAACUGGCGAGUAUAGAGAUAUUGUUAUCCACGUCGGCACCAACGAUGUUAGGAUGAAACAGUCAGAGGUCACCAAGCGCAACAUAGCCUCAGCGUGUAAAUCAGCUAGAAAAUGUGUCGGCAUCGAGUAAUUGUUUCUGGGGAGUGAUGAGCUCUACAGCAGAGUCUCACAACUUAAUCGCUGGUUGAAAACUGUUUUCUGUCCCUCCCAAAAGAUAGAAUUUGUAGAUAAUUGGCCCUCUUUUUAUGACUCACCCACAAACAGGACCUGGCCUGCUGAGGAGUGAUGGAUUCCAUCCUAGCUGGAGGGGUGCUCUCAUUUCUCUAUGAACAUAGACAGGGCUCUAACUCCUCUAGCUCCACAAUGAGAUAGGGUGCAGGCCAGGCAGCAGGCUGUUAGCCAGCCUGCCAGCUUAGUGGAGUCUGCCACUAGCACAGUCAGUGUAGUCAGCUCAGCUAUCCCCAUUGAGACGUGUCUGUGCCUCGAUCUAGGUUGGGCAAAAUUAAAGAUGGCUGUGUUCGCUUCAGCAAUCUCAAUGAAAUAAAGACCUCCUCCAUUCCUGUCAUUAUUGAAAGAGAUUGUGAAAUCUCACAUCUCAAAAUAGGGCUACUUAAUGUCAUUAACUAAUCACAAUCUUGAUUAUGAUUGACCCAACUGAAACAUGGCUUAAGCCUAAUAAAUUUACUUUGUUAAAUGAGGCCUCUCCGCCUUAUUACACUAGUGACCAUAUCCCUCGUGCAUCCCGCAAAGGCGGAGGUGUUGCAAACAUUUACGAUACAUAAUUUCAAUUUACAAUUAAAAACGACUGUGUUUUUGUCUUUUGAGCUUCUAGUCAUGAAAUCUAUGUAGUCUACUCAAUCACUUUUUAUAGCUACUAUUUACAGGCCUCCUGGGCCGUAUACAGCGUUCCUCACUGAGUUCCCUGAAUUCCUAUCGGACCUUGUAGUCAUGGCAGAUAAUAUUCACAUUUUUGGUGACUUUAAUAUUGUUAGGGUUGAACUGGCUAUUUGUAUGCAUAACCUUUAUAAUAUACUGGGGAAGCUAUGCUACAAUAUUAAGUAUAUGAACUGCGAGUAAAUCAACUGAAGACAAGAAGAACUACAACCGGCAACAGGAAGUGCGUCACGACGCUGGGAUCAGCCUACACGCCGACGACAGGAGGAGCAAGUUUAAACCACGCUCCUCCUCCCUCGGACAGGCCAGCAUUGAGCAGGAACUAUCUCUGUUAGAGUAUAAAAGAGAACAAUAGGAUGUGUCGCUCUCUUCUCUGUUUUGCCCUGCGAGGUAAAACAGCGAGACCGUAUAUAUACGAACCACACAUAUACCACACACGUGUUUGCAUUAAUUAAAGUACAGCUAAAUCAGAAGUUACUAUGUGAUGACUAUUUUGUUCUGUUACCAGAAAAGAACUGUCGCAACAUUAACAAUAUUCACAUGAAAAAGUCCACAGACCCACUCCAAAAGACUUUCGGAGCCAUCAUCGACUAAGUGGGUUUUGUCCAACAUGUCUCCAGACCUACUCGCUGCCACAGUCAUACUCUGGACCUAGUUCUGUCCCGUGGAAUAAAUAUUGUGGAUCAAAAUGUUUUUCCUCGUAAUCCUGGACUAUCGAACCACCAUUUUAUUACAUUUGCAGUCGCAAUGAAUAAUCUGCUCAGACCCCAACCAAGGAUCAUCAAAAGCUAUGCGUCAGAGUACAACAAUAGGUUAACCACCUGAGGAACUUAAUUUAACCUUGCAUAAUACUAUACAGUCACACUCCUAAAAACAAACAAAAUAUUGUCAUAAGAAACUCGCUCCCUGGUAUACAGAAAAUACCUGAGCCCUGGAGCAAGUUUCCAGAAAAUUGGAAUGGAAAUGGCGCUACACCAAACUGGAAGUCUUCCGAUUAGCUUGGAAAGACAGUACCGUGCAGUAUCGAAGAGCCCUCACUCCUGCUCGAUCAUCCUAUUUUUCCAACUUAAUUGAGGAGAAUAAGAACAAUCCUACAUUUAUUUUUGAUACUGUCGCAAAGCUAACUAAAAAGCAGCAUUCCCCAAGAGAGGAUGGCUUUCAUUUCAGCAGUGAUAAAUUCAUGAACUUCUUUGACGAAAAGAUAAUUAGAAAGCAAAUUACGGACUCCUCUUUAUUUCUCCAAAGCUCAGUUGUCCUGAGUCUGCACAAUACUGCCAGGACCUAGGAUCAAGGGAGACACUAAAGUUUUUUUUAAUACUAAAUCUCUUGACACAAUGAUGAAAAUAGUCAUGGCCUCUAAACCUUCAAGCUGCAUACUGGACCCUGUUCCAACUAAACUACUGAAAGAGCUGCUUCCUGUGCUUGGCCCUUCUAUGUUGAACGUAAUAAAUGGCUCCCUAUCCACCGGAUGUGUACCAAACUCACUAAAAGUGGCAGUAAUAAAGCCUCUCUUGAAAAAGCCAAACCUUUACCCAGAAAAUAUAAACUAUCGGCCUCUAUCAAAUCUCCCAUUCCUCCCAAAAAAAUUGAAAAAGCUGUUGCGCAGCAACUCACUGCCUUGCUGAAGACUAACAAUGUAUACGAAACGCUUCAUUCUGGUUUUAGACCCCAUCAUAGCACUGAGACUGCACUCGCGAAGGUGGUAAAUUACCUUUUAUUGGCGUCAGACAAAGGCUCUGCAUCUGUCCUCGUGCUCCUAGACCUUGGUGCUGAUUUAUUUAAUUUUUUCAUUGAUCACCACAUUCUUUUGGAGAGAUUGGAAACCCAAAUUGGUCUACACGGACAACUUCUGGCCUGGUUUAGAUCUUAUCUGUCGGAAAGAUAUCAGUUUCUCUGUGGGUGAUUUGUCCUCUGACAAAUCAACUGUAAAUUUCGGUGUUCCUCAAGGUUCCGUUUUAUAUUUUACCACUUGGUGAUGUCAUUCGGAAACAUAAUGUUAACUUUCACUGCUAUGCGGAAGAUACACAGCUGUACAUUUCGAUGAAACAUGGUGAAGCCCCGAAAUUGCCCUCCCUGGAAGCCUGUGUUUCAGCCAUAAGGAAGUGGAUGGCGGCAAAUGUUUUACUUUUAAACUCGGACAAAACAAAAUGCUAGUUCUAGGUCCCAAGAAACAAAGAGAUCUUCUGUUGGAUCUGCCAAUUAAUCUUGAUGGUUGUACAGUCAUCUCAAAUAAAACUGUAAAGGACAUAGGUGUUACUCUGGACCGUGAUCUCUCUUUUGACGAACAUAUCAAGACUGGUUCAAGGACAGCUUUUUUCCAUCUACGUAACAUUGCAAAAAUCAAACUCUCUGUCUAAAAAUUAUGCAGAGAAAUUAAUCCAUGCUUUUGUCACUUCCAGAUUAGACUACUGCAAUACUCUACUUUCCGGCUACCGAUAAAGCACUAAAUAAACUUCAGUUAGUGCUAAACACGGCUGCUAGAAUCCUGACUAGAACCAAAAAAUGUGAUCAUAUUACUCCAGUUCUAGCCUCUCUACACUGGCUUCCUGUUAAGGCUAGGGCUGAUUUCAAGGUUUUACUGCUGACCUACAAAGCAAAGCGUUACAUGGGCUUGCUACUAUCUAUCUUUUCCCGAUUUGGUCCUGCCGUACAUACUUACACAUACGCUACGGUCACAAGACGCAGGCCUCCUUAUUGUCCCUGGACUUUCUAAGCAAACAGCUGGAGGCAGGGCUUUCUCCAAUAGAGCUCUCAACAUUUAAGUCUUUAUUGAAGACUCAUCUCUUCAGUAGGUCCUAUGAUUGAGUGUAGUCUGGCCCAGGGGUGUGAAGGUGAACGGAAAGGCACUGGAGCAACGAACCACCCUUGCUCUCUCUGCCUGGCCGGUUCCCCUCUCCACUGGGAUUCUCUGCCUCUAACCCUAUUACUGAGUCACUGGCUUACUGGUGUUCUUCCAUGCUGUUCCUAGGAGGGGUGCGUCACUUGAGUGUGUUGAGUCUCUGACGUGAUCUUCCUGUCCGGGUUGGCACCCCCCUCGGGUUAGUGCCGUGGGGGAGAUCUUCGUGGCUAUACUCGGCCUUUGGCAAAGUGGGUGGGGUUAUAUCCUGCCUGGUUGGCCCUGUAAGGGGGUAUAAUCGGACGGGGCCACAGUGUCUCCCGACCCCUCCUGUCUCAGCCUCCAGACCUGAGACCUAGGACCAUGUCUCAGGACUACCUGGCCUGAUGACUCCUUGCUGUCCCCAGUCCACCUGGUUGUGCUGCUGCUUCAGUUUCAACUGUUCUGCCAGCGGCUAUGGAACCCUGACCUGUUGCACCCUCUGCAACCACUGUGAUUAUUAUUUGAUCCUGCUGGUCAUCUAUGAACGAUUGAACAUCUUGGCCAUGUACUGUUAUAAUCUCCACCUGGCACAGCCAGAAGAGGACUGGCCACCCCUCAGAGCCUGGUUCCUCUCUAGGUUUCUUCCUAGGUUCCUGCCUUUCUAGGGAGAUUUUCCUAGCCACCGUGCUUCAACAUCUGCAAUGCUUGCUGUUUGGGGUGUUAGGCUGGUUCUGUAUAGUGCUUUGUGACAUCAGCUGAUGUAAGAAGAGCUAUAUAAAUAAAUCAAAAUGUUUCAAGAUACAUUUAAAUGAGAAUUUACACCAGGUUUUCUGUGUGACUGGGUUUGUCUUGACGCUAAUAAACUAUUGUUUAAGUGUGUGGAUCAUGGCACUGCAUGAAAUUAAACGUAUAAACUGUGACCCCAUGAACACACUGUUGCACCAAUCUAGAGAUCAUAAACAGCAUGACCUCACAAACCACAGAGGGCUAGUUUCACAGUCCAACAAAAGCAAUGAAAAUGUAAUAAACAUUAUUUAGGCCUGCUAGUGGGCUAAUCAGCCAGCGUGACAGAAACUGCUGGCAUAAAAAUUGAAGAUAAUUUGACUCAAAAGCUCCAAAGCAGUUCAGUUAGAAUUCAGGAAGCCUCUGUUGAGUUGUAAAUGUUGUGUGGUGUCAGAAGUUCAGGACUUGCUCUUUAUUUCACUGAUUAUUUGAGUAAAUGGGAGAAUACUGUAAUGUGCUUUUUGAAUCAUUUGAUAUACUGG
Molecule: long non-coding RNA, 5699 nt
Filed under: Salmo salar (Atlantic salmon)
Lineage: Eukaryota; Metazoa; Chordata; Actinopteri; Salmoniformes; Salmonidae
Description: lncRNA (ENSSSAG00000083975.1)
Source: RNAcentral